GUUCACCCUAAAUGUGUUAUCAAUAUGCCUCUUGAAGCACUCGUAUACAAAAUAUCACAUUGGCAGAAGGCUAGCUAAGGUCAAGAAGGGGAAGCAAGCAGAUCUGGUCGUACGACACACUUUUUAACCCUAACUGAUAAUUCUACUCUCCGCUAUUGCACGAUUGAAAUGAGUUAAGGGCGAUUUCGGCUCCAAAGAAAAGACCUUACGCUGCGGUGCUGUGAUUGGUUGACAUCUGUCACACAUCACCGGCCCUUUUUUACCCUUAUAAAUCACAUAACGACACCGCGAACAAUCCAUUGGCACAACAAAUCGGAGCUUAGAAGCCCAAUGAAAUACUCAAGCUCCGGAAACCACGGUAUUACCCGCUCAUAUGAUGUCCGUAGUCUAGGUCGUUACCUUGUCGGCGUUAUUGGAACAUAAGAGGCGUCCUAGACGUGUUUUCUUACUCGGUUUAUGAGGCAGAAAGCAAUUAGCCAAAGAAGCAUUUUGUAAUUAGUUGUUGUAUGAUUGUUUAUUAACAGAGCAGGACGCGUGCGAAAUUAAAGCGAUCGGAGCUAAUAAAAAAACUUAUUGAAUUAGCCAUAUUGUUUGGAAGAAAAUGAGUUUAGUUUCGCACGGAGAAGCAAGGAUAAUGGGCUCGAACUACGAGGCAAAAUCAAACAAAUUUAGCGGAAUUUCACACCCCAUCCUACCACCUAAAUCCCCAAUAACUAUUUCCUAUCUAAAAAAAAACUCUGAAGUCUCUUUAAAAAAAUCUUAUCAUUCAUAUCUAAAUCGAAGCUAUCUUCGUGAUGAGCACAUAUCAAAGGCCACACUAGUCGUUCGGGUGUGAUACAAGAAAGUUCCUGGGUAUUUCAAAGAGAUUGUGACCAUCAGACAUAGUAAUUAGACAAGGAAUGCUUCCAGUUUGAUUAUGAUAACAGUUUAUUUUGUUUUCAAUCUAAACGGAGCUUCAAUAUUAGGGCAUAGGAAGGAGAAAAGAAAAUAUUGUUACUUUUUAAUGGUGUUCUUAGGAUUAGAGGGGUUUUUACUGUAUUGCGGUGAAUGCUGGUAAAUAAACUGGAGCGGGUAUUUGCUCAGUAGGGUUUCGACUUCAAAGAGGGAUUAGCGUUUGUUGAACUUGACGAGCAACUAUUACGAAAAGUAAUUCUGCGAGGUAUGUGCGCUUUAUCAUGCGGGGCACUUUGCGUUGUCCUUUAGGCGAAACUACUGGCUCUUUUGGGACCGUUCAUCUUAAAGAGGAUUCACAUCACAUGAAGGGGUUAUACCCUUCGAUAGGAAAAGCAAAAAAAUAGUGAGAAAAACAUACUUUAAAAACUUUACAGGAAGAGAGCAUAGGUUUUAAAAAUUCUUCAACCUCUCACGGCGGUAUAAAAGCUUCCCACAACUAAAUAAACAUUUAAACUAAAAGUUGAUUGUCUUUUUUCGACCUGUUCACAUUUGUUUGCUUGAUCUAAUAAGGAAAAUUGUAACAGCUCUGCGAAGAAAUUAAUUUAAGAAAACAUGCUUUGAUAUUCACUUUUAAAAUGAGGCAUGUCUUCAGCCCGUCACAGACGGCGGGAUUCAACGCAAUCGUCGGUUCCGGUGAACGAAAAAUAGACAUUGGAUUGACCGGAAAAUGCAAGAACAUAACUCCUUUACACCCUUUACGCGAUCAGCGGCCGUAGAGUCUUAGGUAUUCAGCUUUAAUGAUCGGAAGCGAAUUCAUUCUGUUUACAUUUAAAAUAGAAAUUAAAACUUUUAGGUCGCGUUCCAAAGUGGCUUGUUAAUUCUAACUCCACCCCAUUCACUCCCAAAUAAUCCUGUAUCUGAAUUUUCCAUCAUUAAAUUAUGAUUAGACGAAGGAACUCUAGGUAUCUGAUCUGAAUGACCAAUUUAGGUUCCCUGUAGCGACUCCAUGUGGAUUGGAUCAUAACUCACAGUGAGGACUCUCAUUUUAAAAGUGCCUUUCAAUUCAAACUUCUUUAGGCGGCGACAACACUCGUCAUUGUACCAUCACCGCUUCAGCGAUAUCCCGAAUCAAACAAGAAGCAUUUCUCUACCAUUAGUUGACACAAACCAAGAGUGGACUCUUCAGAGAUUAAACCUGGGUCUAGGCUUUCAGCUUGUUCAAGACGAACUAUGGCAGGAAAAUCAAUCAAGCUUAGAAGGGUAGAUGAAAUGGAUAACUUGCAUACACAUAUGCUCCAAAACAAAUUUUGGAAUAUCAAUUCAUAAUGGCUCCAUAAAGCCUUUGUAGUAUGUGGCCAUAAAUGUAUAAUGUGGCUUUAGCUUUGAUGACUACUUACGACAAGUCAAUUGUGUAUCAUGAUCAAGUUUUUGUUGCUGUAACCAGGAUUUUGUCCUGUAAGAAAAACAUGUACAAUUAAAGUGUGGGAAAAUAUAUUGGAUCAUUCUGUUUUAAA
This is a long non-coding RNA of Nematostella vectensis (starlet sea anemone), 2408 nucleotides long. RefSeq lists it as uncharacterized. Lineage: Eukaryota; Metazoa; Cnidaria; Anthozoa; Actiniaria; Edwardsiidae. The transcript is spliced from 2 exons. The record is from RefSeq and is a predicted model, not a curated record.